RNAcentral lists this ribosomal RNA (507 nucleotides) under uncultured Glomeraceae. Its description in RNAcentral is "SSU rRNA". It matches the Rfam family "Eukaryotic small subunit ribosomal RNA", at positions 569 to 1082 of the family's 1831-position model. The record is from RNAcentral. Lineage: Eukaryota; Fungi; Glomeromycota; Glomeromycetes; Glomerales; Glomeraceae.
AGCAGCCGCGGUAAUUCCAGCUCCAAUAGCGUAUAUUAAAGUUGUUGCAGUUAAAAAGCUCGUAGUUGAAUUUCGAGACCGGCUUACUGGUCGUGCUAUUGUGCGUACUGGUAUAAUCGGUUUCUCCUUUCUGACGAACUAUAAUGCCAUUAAUUUGGUGUUAUAGGGAAUCAGGACUGUUACUUUGAAAAAUUAGAGUGUUUAAAGCAGGCUCACGCUUGAAUACAUUAGCAUGGAAUAACGGAAUAGGACGUUUGAUUCUAUUUUGUUGGUUUCUAGGAUCGACGUAAUGAUUAAUAGGGAUAGUUGGGGGCAUUAGUAUUCAAUUGUCAGAGGUGAAAUUCUUGGAUUUAUUGAAGACUAACUACUGCGAAAGCAUUUGCCAAGGAUGUUUUCAUUAAUCAAGAACGAAAGUUAGGGGAUCGAGGACGAUCAGAUACCGUCGUAGUCUUAACCAUAAACUAUGCCGACUAGGGAUCGGAUGAUGUUUAAUUUUUAAUGUACUCA